GGUCUCAUAGUAUAUCGGUUAGUAUAAAAGAUUGUCACUCUUUAGAGAGGGGUUCAACUCCCCUUGAGACCGCCA
RNAcentral lists this transfer RNA (75 nucleotides) under Acholeplasmatales bacterium. RNAcentral's name for it is "tRNA-Asp". It matches the Rfam family "tRNA". Rfam says of the family: Transfer RNA (tRNA) molecules are approximately 80 nucleotides in length. The record is from RNAcentral. Lineage: Bacteria; Bacillati; Mycoplasmatota; Mollicutes; Acholeplasmatales.